AAACCCAUAGGUUUGAUCCCAGCCAUUCUAUUAGUUUUUAAUAAAAUUACACAUGCAAGUAUCUGCAUCCCAAUGAAAUGCCCUCUGAAUCAUGAAAGAUUAAAAGGAGCUGGUAUCAAGUACACAAAGCUACUUAAUAAUGCCUUGUUUAGCCACACUCCUAUGGGAGACAACAGUGAUAAAAAUUAAGCCAUAAACAAAAGUUUGACUAAGUUACGUUAUUUAGGGUUGGUAAAUUUCAUGCCAGCCACUGCGGUCAUACGAUUAACCCAAACUAAUAGAAACUCAGCCCAAAGAGCAUUCAAGAACGAUAAAAAAUAGAGUUAAGUUUUAGCUAAGCUGUAAAAAGCAACAGCCAAAAUAAAAAUGAGCCAUGAAAGUGACCCUAACUGUCUCUGAAUGCACGAUAGCUAAGGUCCAUACUGGGAUUAGAUACCCCACUAUGCUUAGCCUUAAACCCAAAUAAUUCUAGCAAUAUCACUUGCCAGGGCACUACUGGCAAUAGCUUAAAACUCAAAGGACUUGGUGGUGCUUCACUCAAUUGGGUGAUCAGGGAAGGCUCCACU
This 566-nucleotide non-coding RNA is filed under the name Camelus bactrianus (Bactrian camel). Its description in RNAcentral is "Bacterial small subunit ribosomal RNA". It matches the Rfam family "Bacterial small subunit ribosomal RNA", at positions 9 to 951 of the family's 1533-position model. The record is from Rfam by way of RNAcentral. Lineage: Eukaryota; Metazoa; Chordata; Mammalia; Artiodactyla; Camelidae. RNAcentral also lists the same sequence under 1 other name.